UUCAAUUUUUGAAGUUUCUCUAGCUUUUUUGUUGGGUGAAAUCAGUAUAAGAAGCUCUUUCUUCUUUAAAAAUUAGUAGGAACUAAAAAACUUUGAUUUAAAACCAGGAUUAGAUACCCUGUUAUUCUCAGUUAUUCUUAAACAGGGUAGUAAAAGUUGUUCUUCAAACCCAAAGAUUUUGGCGGCACUUUAUCCAAAUAGAGGAGCUUGUCCCUUAAUCGAUAGUCCUCGUUUUAUCUUUCCUUCAUUUGUAAAGCUUGUAUACCGCCGUUGUCAGAUUACUUUUAGAGAAUGUUUUCAAGUUAAAAGACUUUAUAACUUCAGGUCAAGGUGCAGUUUAUAUGGGGGCGGAGGUGAGCUACAGUUUUCUUUAGAAAAUACGGAUUUUAAGCUUUGAAGCUAGCUGAAGGUGGAUUUACUAGUAAAGUAA
RNAcentral lists this ribosomal RNA (430 nucleotides) under Daphnia galeata. Its description in RNAcentral is "partial 12S ribosomal RNA". The record is from RNAcentral. Lineage: Eukaryota; Metazoa; Arthropoda; Branchiopoda; Diplostraca; Daphniidae.